GACGUAGGGCGCGAGCGUUGUCCGGAUUUAUUGGGCGUAAAGAGCUCGUAGGCGGUUCGUUGCGUCGGCUGUGAAAACCCGCAGCUCAACUGUGGGCUUGCAGCUGAUACGGGCGGGCUGGAGUUCGGUAGGGGAGACUGGAAUUCCUGGUGUAGCGGUGAAAUGCGCAGAUAUCAGGAGGAACACCGGUGGCGAAGGCGGGUCUCUGGGCCGAUACUGACGCUGAGGAGCGAAAGCGUGGGGAGCGAACAGG
RNAcentral lists this ribosomal RNA (253 nucleotides) under uncultured bacterium. Its description in RNAcentral is "partial 16S ribosomal RNA". It matches the Rfam family "Bacterial small subunit ribosomal RNA", at positions 524 to 776 of the family's 1533-position model. The record is from RNAcentral.